CAUCCAGAUCCCACAAGGGCGGCCGCAUCCCCCACUACCGACGUCAUCUCUUCUCCUCGACCCUCGCCGGCGCAUCCCACCCACUUCCGCGCCGUCAAGAACCGCCGAUCUCCACCCUCGCGUCCUGUCGCCCGGAGGCCAACUCCAUCUCCGCGCUCUUCUGGGGGUCUUUCCCCGUGCGGCGCCGAGCUCCGGGAAGACGUUCAUCACCUGGGCACGCCUCCAUCGACGAGCUCCUGCUCCGGCGCCCAUCCGGAGAAGGAAAGCCGCUUCAAUUCACCCAGCCACUGCGCCGCUAUCCUCCUCCGACCGCUGAUUGUUGUUGCUGCUGUCCGGACCCCUGCCGGCCGGCCACCUCCACAAGAAGGUGAGGGUGAAAUCCCUAGAGAAGCUUGGGAUGGAUGGAUUGAUGGUGGUGCAGCUCGAGGCGGCCAGUUACUAUCGGCGGUAGGUUGGGAGGGACGACGUACAUCCCCGGGGCACGCCUCUAUCGGCGAGCUCUUGCUCCGGUGCCCAUCUGGCGAAGGAAGUCCGCUUCAAUUCACCCAGCCACCACGCCGCUAUACUCCUCUGAUGACCAGAUGCUGCUGCUAACCGGACCCUGCGCCGGACGCCUCCACAAGCUGGUUAGAGAAGCUUGGGAUUGAUGGAUUGAUGGUGGUGCAGCUCUCAUGUCCGCUGCCGCCUUUUUCUCUGUUCCUAAAUUAUCGCUGCAUCGACUAUGCUGUUUCAGGGAGGCACUAAAAUGGGUACGAAUCAUGCCAUGAACCCUUCACGACCACAGAUCGAAGCGCUGCUACACGGGCAAGCUGCCGGUGCUGAUGGGAGGAGCUUGCCCUGGCAUAGUGGAGGCACAUAGGACAAGCUUGUGGUCUUCUGCCCAGGCCGCUGCUACCGGCAACCACGCCCUCGAGCUUCUGCUCUGGCCACAGUUUCAACCACCA
Long non-coding RNA from Lolium rigidum, 944 nucleotides. RefSeq lists it as uncharacterized. The record is from RefSeq and is a predicted model, not a curated record. The transcript is spliced from 4 exons. NCBI's taxonomy places the organism in Eukaryota, Viridiplantae, Streptophyta, Magnoliopsida, Poales, Poaceae.